Molecule: microRNA precursor, 126 nt
Filed under: Myotis davidii
Lineage: Eukaryota; Metazoa; Chordata; Mammalia; Chiroptera; Vespertilionidae
Description: mir-9193 microRNA precursor family
Rfam family: mir-9193 microRNA precursor family
Source: Rfam by way of RNAcentral
CGUGCACCAGUGGGGUCCCUCGGCCUGGCCUGCACCUUCUCACAAUCCAGGACCGCUCAGGGGAUGUUGGAGAUCCGGUUUCAGCCAGAUCCCGCAGGCCAGGCUGAGGGACCCCACUGGUGCACA